Molecule: ribosomal RNA, 658 nt
Filed under: Saccharomyces cerevisiae (brewer's yeast)
Lineage: Eukaryota; Fungi; Ascomycota; Saccharomycetes; Saccharomycetales; Saccharomycetaceae
Description: LSU rRNA
Rfam family: Eukaryotic large subunit ribosomal RNA
Source: RNAcentral
GAUAAGAAGAGAGCGUCUAGGCGAACAAUGUUCUUAAAGUUUGACCUCAAAUCAGGUAGGAGUACCCGCUGAACUUAAGCAUAUCAAUAAGCGGAGGAAAAGAAACCAACCGGGAUUGCCUUAGUAACGGCGAGUGAAGCGGCAAAAGCUCAAAUUUGAAAUCUGGUACCUUCGGUGCCCGAGUUGUAAUUUGGAGAGGGCAACUUUGGGGCCGUUCCUUGUCUAUGUUCCUUGGAACAGGACGUCAUAGAGGGUGAGAAUCCCGUGUGGCGAGGAGUGCGGUUCUUUGUAAAGUGCCUUCGAAGAGUCGAGUUGUUUGGGAAUGCAGCUCUAAGUGGGUGGUAAAUUCCAUCUAAAGCUAAAUAUUGGCGAGAGACCGAUAGCGAACAAGUACAGUGAUGGAAAGAUGAAAAGAACUUUGAAAAGAGAGUGAAAAAGUACGUGAAAUUGUUGAAAGGGAAGGGCAUUUGAUCAGACAUGGUGUUUUGUGCCCUCUGCUCCUUGUGGGUAGGGGAAUCUCGCAUUUCACUGGGCCAGCAUCAGUUUUGGUGGCAGGAUAAAUCCAUAGGAAUGUAGCUUGCCUCGGUAAGUAUUAUAGCCUGUGGGAAUACUGCCAGCUGGGACUGAGGACUGCGACGUAAGUCAAGGAUGCUGCAUA